UAAUACGAAGGGGGCUAGCGUUGUUCGGAAUCACUGGGCGUAAAGGGCGCGUAGGCGGCUUUGUAAGUCGGGGGUGAAAGCCUGUGGCUCAACCACAGAAUUGCCUUCGAUACUGCAUGGCUUGAGACCGGAAGAGGUUAGUGGAACUGCGAGUGUAGAGGUGAAAUUCGUAGAUAUUCGCAAGAACACCAGUGGCGAAGGCGGCUGACUGGUCCGGUUCUGACGCUGAGGCGCGAAAGCGUGGGGAGCAAACAGG
This 256-nucleotide ribosomal RNA is filed under the name uncultured archaeon. RNAcentral describes it as "partial 16S ribosomal RNA". It matches the Rfam family "Bacterial small subunit ribosomal RNA", at positions 521 to 776 of the family's 1533-position model. The record is from RNAcentral.